CGGAGUGGACGCAUCACUGGUGUUCGGGUUGUCAUGCCAAUGGCACUGCCCGGUAGCUAAAUGCGGAAGAGAUAAGUGCUGAAAGCAUCUAAGCACGAAACUUGCCCCGAGAUGAGUUCUCCCUGACUCCUUGAGAGUCCUGAAGGAACGUUGAAGACGACGACGUUGAUAGGCCGGGUGUGUAAGCGCAGCGAUGCGUUGAGCUAACCGGUACUAAUGAACCGUGAGACUUAACCUU
This 238-nucleotide ribosomal RNA is filed under the name Escherichia coli. RNAcentral's name for it is "partial 23S ribosomal RNA". It matches the Rfam family "Bacterial large subunit ribosomal RNA", at positions 2693 to 2925 of the family's 2925-position model. The record is from RNAcentral. Lineage: Bacteria; Pseudomonadati; Pseudomonadota; Gammaproteobacteria; Enterobacterales; Enterobacteriaceae.